RNAcentral lists this non-coding RNA (45 nucleotides) under Schistosoma haematobium. Lineage: Eukaryota; Metazoa; Platyhelminthes; Trematoda; Strigeidida; Schistosomatidae. The record is from RNAcentral.
AUCCAGCUGGUGAGUCCCAAAUAGGACGAAACGCGGGUCCUGAAC